UGCUAUGUAAUAAAGUGCUUACAGUGCAGGUAAUGGUUAUGUCCUACCUACCGCAAUGUGAGCACUUCUGUCACAAGGCA
This 80-nucleotide microRNA precursor is filed under the name Oncorhynchus kisutch (coho salmon). Its description in RNAcentral is "mir-17 microRNA precursor family". It matches the Rfam family "mir-17 microRNA precursor family". Rfam says of the family: This family represents the microRNA (miRNA) precursor mir-17, family, which includes mir-20, mir-91, and mir-103. miRNAs are transcribed as ~70nt precursors (modelled here) and subsequently processed by the Dicer enzyme to give a ~22nt product. In this case the mature sequence comes from the 3' arm of the precursor. The record is from Rfam by way of RNAcentral. Lineage: Eukaryota; Metazoa; Chordata; Actinopteri; Salmoniformes; Salmonidae. RNAcentral also lists the same sequence under 4 other names.